AGAAAUGUAAUCUAUUAGGGAUAUUUCAUUUACAAUGAGAAGGUGUUUUUACCAUUUUUA
This 60-nucleotide transfer RNA is filed under the name Quadristernoseta cf. intermedia XFX-2019. RNAcentral describes it as "tRNA-Val". Lineage: Eukaryota; Metazoa; Arthropoda; Arachnida; Mesostigmata; Diplogyniidae. The record is from RNAcentral.